CUACGGGGUGCUCCAGUGAGGAAUUUUGCGCAAUGGGGGAAACCCUGACGCAGCAACGCCGCGUGAGCGAAGAAGGCCCUCGGGUCGUAAAGCUCUGUCAAGUGGGAAAAAAAUUUUUUGAUCAAUAGUCAAAAGACUUGAUGGUACCACUGGAGGAAGCACCGGCUAACUCCGUGCCAGCAGCCGCGGUAAUACGGGGGGUGCGAGCGUUGUUCGGAUUUACUGGGCGUAAAGAGCGUGUAGGCGGUUUAGCAAGUCAGAUGUGAAAGCCCUGGGCUCAACCCGGGAAGUGCAUUUGAAACUGCUUCACUAGAGUAUGGGAGAGGAGAUUGGAAUUCCUGGUGUAGAGGUGAAAUUCGUAGAUAUCAGGAGGAACACCCGUGGCGAAGGCGAUUCUCUGGACCAAUACUGACGCUGAGACGCGAAAGCGUGGGGAGCAAACAGGAUUAGAUACCCUAGUAGUC
Molecule: ribosomal RNA, 464 nt
Filed under: uncultured bacterium
Lineage: Bacteria
Description: partial 16S ribosomal RNA
Rfam family: Bacterial small subunit ribosomal RNA
Source: RNAcentral